AUUGAACGCUGGCGGCAGGCCUAACACAUGCAAGUCGAGCGGAUGAAGGGAGCUUGCUCCUGGAUUCAGCGGCGGACGGGUGUGUAAUGCCUAGGAAUCUGCCUGGCAGUGGUGUAUAACGUCUGGAAACGGCCGCUAAUACCGCAUACGUCCUGAGGGAGAAAGUGGGGGAUCUUCGGACCUCACGCUAUCAGAUGAGCCUAGGUCGGAUUAGCUAGUUGGUGGGGUAAAGGCCUACCAAGGCGACGAUCCGUAACUGGUCUGCGUGGAUGAUCAGUCACACUGGAGGUGGGACACGGACAAGAGUCCUAAGGGAGGGAGCAGUGGGGAAUAUGGGACAGUGGGCGGAAGCCUGAUACAGCCAUGGCGCGUGUGUGGAGGAGGUCUUCGGAGUGUGAAGAACUUUAUCUUGGGGGGAAGGGCAGUAAGCUGAGACCUUGCUGGAGUGACGGUACCAACUGAAGAAGCACCGGCUAACUUCGUG
Molecule: ribosomal RNA, 484 nt
Filed under: uncultured bacterium
Lineage: Bacteria
Description: partial 16S ribosomal RNA
Rfam family: Bacterial small subunit ribosomal RNA
Source: RNAcentral